This 72-nucleotide transfer RNA is filed under the name Curtobacterium sp. VKM Ac-1376. RNAcentral's name for it is "tRNA-OTHER". It matches the Rfam family "tRNA". From Rfam's summary of the family: Transfer RNA (tRNA) molecules are approximately 80 nucleotides in length. Their secondary structure includes four short double-helical elements and three loops (D, anti-codon, and T loops). Lineage: Bacteria; Bacillati; Actinomycetota; Actinomycetes; Micrococcales; Microbacteriaceae. The record is from RNAcentral.
GGCUCAGUCGCUUGAGGCAAUGAGCGCUCCCACAUAACGGAGACGUCGUCGGUUCGAAUCCGGCCUGAGCCC